RNAcentral lists this ribosomal RNA (465 nucleotides) under uncultured Klebsiella sp. RNAcentral describes it as "bacterial SSU rRNA". It matches the Rfam family "Bacterial small subunit ribosomal RNA", at positions 338 to 795 of the family's 1533-position model. The record is from RNAcentral. Lineage: Bacteria; Pseudomonadati; Pseudomonadota; Gammaproteobacteria; Enterobacterales; Enterobacteriaceae.
CCUACGGGCGGCUGCAGUGGGGAAUAUUGCACAAUGGGCGCAAGCCUGAUGCAGCCAUGCCGCGUGUGUGAAGAAGGCCUUCGGGUUGUAAAGCACUUUCAGCGGGGAGGAAGGCGGUGAGGUUAAUAACCUCAUCGAUUGACGUUACCCGCAGAAGAAGCACCGGCUAACUCCGUGCCGGCAGCCGCGGUAAUACGGAGGGUGCAAGCGUUAAUCGGAAUUACUGGGCGUAAAGCGCACGCAGGCGGUCUGUCAAGUCGGAUGUGAAAUCCCCGGGCUCAACCUGGGAACUGCAUUCGAAACUGGCAGGCUAGAGUCUUGUAGAGGGGGGUAGAAUUCCAGGUGUAGCGGUGAAAUGCGUAGAGAUCUGGAGGAAUACCGGUGGCGAAGGCGGCCCCCUGGACAAAGACUGACGCUCAGGUGCGAAAGCGUGGGGAGCAAACAGGAUUAGAUACCCCAGUAGUC